Molecule: ribosomal RNA, 520 nt
Filed under: uncultured marine eukaryote
Lineage: Eukaryota
Description: SSU rRNA
Rfam family: Eukaryotic small subunit ribosomal RNA
Source: RNAcentral
UAGUCGGAUUUCGGGGCGGGGCGGCCGGUCUGCCGAUGGGUACGCCUGGUCGCCGCGCUCUUCUUGCCGGAGGCGCGGCCUACUCUUCACUGAGCGGGCCGUGAACUUGGCACGUUUACUUUGAAAAAAUCAGAGUGUUUCAAGCAGGCAGCUCGCUCUUGCAUGGAUUAGCAUGGGAUAAUAAAAUAGGACUUUGGUGCUAUUUUGUUGGUUUCGAACACCAGAGUAAUGAUUAACAGGGACAGUCAGGGGCACUCGUAUUCCGCCGAGAGAGGUGAAAUUCUUAGACCAGCGGAAGACGAACAACUGCGAAAGCAUUUGCCAGGGAUGUUUUCACUGAUCAAGAACGAAAGUUAGGGGAUCGAAGACGAUCAGAUACCGUCGUAGUCUUAACCAUAAACCAUGCCGACUAGGGAUUGGAGGGUGUUCCUUUUGAGACCCCUUCAGCACCUUUCGGGAAACUAAAGUCUUUGGGUUCCGGGGGGAGUAUGGUCGCAAGGCUGAAACUUAAAGGAAUUGA